RNAcentral lists this ribosomal RNA (495 nucleotides) under uncultured bacterium. RNAcentral's name for it is "bacterial SSU rRNA". It matches the Rfam family "Bacterial small subunit ribosomal RNA", at positions 29 to 513 of the family's 1533-position model. The record is from RNAcentral.
AGUGAACGCUGGCGGCAGGCCUAAUACAUGCAAGUCGAACGGCAGCACAGCAGAGCUUGCUCUGUGGGUGGCGAGUGGCGGACAGGUGAGGAAUACAUGGGAAUCUGCCCAGUCGUGGGGGAUAACGUAGGGAAACUUACGCUAAUACCGCAUGCGCCCUUCGGGGGAAAGCCGGGGACCUUCGGGCCUGGCGCGAUUGGAUGAGCCCAUGUCGGAUUAGCUAGUUGGCGGGGUAAUGGCCCACCAAGGCGACGAUCCGUAGCUGGUCUGAGAGGAUGAUCAGCCACACUGGAACUGAGACACGGUCCAGACUCCUACGGGAGCAGCAGUAGGGAAUAUUGGACAAUGGGCGCAAGCCUGAUCCAGCCAUGCCGCGUGAGUGAAGAAGGCCCUCGGGUUGUAAAGCUCUUUUGUCCGGAAAGAAAAGCGCCGGGUUAAUACCCUGGUGUCCUGACGGUACCGGAACGAAUAAGCACCGGCUAACUCGUGCCAGCA